RNAcentral lists this ribosomal RNA (432 nucleotides) under uncultured bacterium. Its description in RNAcentral is "partial 16S ribosomal RNA". It matches the Rfam family "Bacterial small subunit ribosomal RNA", at positions 29 to 506 of the family's 1533-position model. The record is from RNAcentral.
AACGAACGCUGGCGGCAGGCCUAACACAUGCAAGUCGAGCGAGGACUUCGGUCCUAGCGGCGGACGGGUGAGUAACGCGUGGGAACGUGCCCUUUGCUUCGGAAUAGCCCUGGGGAACUGGGAGUAAUACCGGAUGAGCCCUUUGGGGGAAAGAUUUAUCGGCGAAGGAUCGGCCCGCGUUGGAUUAGGUAGUUGGUGGGGUAAUGGCCUACCAAGCCGACGAUCCAUAGCUGGUUUGAGAGGAUGAUCAGCCACACUGGGACUGAGACACGGCCCAGACUCCUACGGGAGGCAGCAGUGGGGAAUCUUAGACAAUGGGGGAAACCCUGAUCUAGCCAUGCCGCGUGAGCGAUGAAGGCCUUAGGGUUGUAAAGCUCUUUCAGCUGGGAAGAUAAUGACGGUACCAGCAGAAGAAGCCCCGGCUAACUCCGU